UCGGGCGUUCCCCGUUCGGGGGACAGGGUGACAGGUGGUGCAUGGUUGUCGUCAGCUCGUGUCGUGAGAUGUUGGGUUAAGUCCCGCAACGAGCGCAACCCUCGACCUUAGUUGCCAGCAUUCAGUUGGGCACUCUAAGGUGACUGCCGGCUAAAAGUCGGAGGAAGUGGGGAUGACGUCAAAUCAUCAUGCCCCUUAUGACCUGGGCUACACACGUGCUACAAUGGGCGGUACAAAGGGUCGCGAACCCGCGAGGGGGAGCCAAUCCCAAAAAGCCGCUCUCAGUUCGGAUUGCAGGCUGCAACUCGCCUGCAUGAAGCCGGAAUCGCUAGUAAUCGCGGAUCAGCAUGCCGCGGUGAAUACGUUCCCGGGCCUU
This 376-nucleotide ribosomal RNA is filed under the name uncultured Anoxybacillus sp. Its description in RNAcentral is "bacterial SSU rRNA". It matches the Rfam family "Bacterial small subunit ribosomal RNA", at positions 1007 to 1382 of the family's 1533-position model. Lineage: Bacteria; Bacillati; Bacillota; Bacilli; Caryophanales; Anoxybacillaceae. The record is from RNAcentral.